Non-coding RNA from Stegodyphus mimosarum, 73 nucleotides. The record is from Rfam. Lineage: Eukaryota; Metazoa; Arthropoda; Arachnida; Araneae; Eresidae.
GCCUUCGUGGUGUAAUGGCCAGCACGUUCGACGCGAAACCGAGAGUUCCGUGGUUCGAUUCCCAGCGAAGGUG